UACGAAGGGGGCUAGCGUUGCUCGGAAUCACUGGGCGUAAAGGGUGCGUAGGCGGGUCUUUAAGUCAGGGGUGAAAUCCUGGAGCUCAACUCCAGAACUGCCUUUGAUACUGAGGAUCUUGAGUUCGGGAGAGGUGAGUGGAACUGCGAGUGUAGAGGUGAAAUUCGUAGAUAUUCGCAAGAACACCAGUGGCGAAGGCGGCUCACUGGCCCGAUACUGACGCUGAGGCACGAAAGCGUAGGGAGCAAACAGG
RNAcentral lists this ribosomal RNA (253 nucleotides) under uncultured bacterium. Its description in RNAcentral is "partial 16S ribosomal RNA". It matches the Rfam family "Bacterial small subunit ribosomal RNA", at positions 524 to 776 of the family's 1533-position model. The record is from RNAcentral.